This 206-nucleotide ribosomal RNA is filed under the name uncultured bacterium. RNAcentral describes it as "partial 16S ribosomal RNA". It matches the Rfam family "Bacterial small subunit ribosomal RNA", at positions 524 to 728 of the family's 1533-position model. The record is from RNAcentral.
UACGUAGGGGGCAAGCGUUGUCCGGAUUUAUUGGGCGUAAAGAGCGUGUAGGCGGCCAUGCAGGUCCGUUGUGAAAACUCGAGGCUCAACCUCGAGACGCCGAUGGAAACCGCAUGGCUAGAGUCCGGAAGAGGAGAGUGGAAUUCCCGGUGUAGUGGUGAAAUGCGUAGAGAUCGGGGAGGAACACCUGUGGCGAAGGCGGCCCC